This 1140-nucleotide long non-coding RNA is filed under the name Marmota monax (woodchuck). The record is from RNAcentral. Lineage: Eukaryota; Metazoa; Chordata; Mammalia; Rodentia; Sciuridae.
UUUUUUUUUGUCUAGAACACAGUAUAAUGCUUUCAAAUCUCUGCCAUCUCCCUUCUGCUAUUAAUUUAUUCCAUCUUUCUAAAACCACCCAUAGAAAAAUGUCCUCCCAUUUAACGUUUCUUUGAGUCUUCAAGGCUUAGCUGUUUUAUUUGUAAGGUGGCAAUGUCCAACACAGUCAGUAGAUGUCACUGUCUAAUAGUCAAGGUGUCCAUUCAACAAGCCUUUGGGGUCAGACGCUUCAAGUUCUCUUGGAUGGAUUAACUCCCUUUUUGGUUGGCUCUAAAAUCUGUGCAUAGUAUUUACUUAAGACAGUAUGUAGCCCUCUCUCCAUUUCAGAUAUGACGUUAGAGACGUGGUUUGCCCAGCGUCUGUGAUCACCAGCUUUCACCGCCUUCCAGCUGCAGUGCAUUGCCUCAUGCACCAAGAAGUCACAGUUGCCCUUCAAGGCUGAUUCAAUGGCAUUUAAUGGUAUCUAACCCUGGCCCAUUGCCCUCUGGACUUGGGUCUUUCAGUUAUGGCCAAAAUCUUAGUUCCGAAGAUGGAGACGGGAUCAGGUACCACAUGGUCCCGAGUGCAGGAGCCAGUCUGAAUGUGUCCUGUCACUUGAUAGCAGACAGACACUCCUCAUCAGCUACUCAGGACUCCAGGCGCCAGGAAGUAAGUUGAGGUCAGGGAGUUUGUUUUAUCUACUGAUUUGGAAAAAUAUUUAGCCUCCCUGGAACAGGGAUGUGCAUUCCGUGAGCCUGAAGCCAUGAAAUUUGGCAAGUCCCAUAUCAGAUGCCUAAAACUGUUAUACAACUCAGUCUAAUUUAGAUUGUAAGGCUGCCAGAGGGAACUUAAGUCUCUUCUUGGUUCCAAAAGUCCCUUCUGUCUGACAAUUCUUGGGGCCCAGCAAUCAGUGUUGAUCAAUAGCAAUUAUCAUAAUAAUGAUAUCCAUUGCCCAGACUUGAACCACAGCUCAAGAUGCAUCGCUUUGGAUAAUUGGUAGUUAGAAUUUGGCCCAGAGAGACAUGUGAGUGACUUGUGCAAUAAUCUGGCUAUCCUACAAAUUAAAGACAAAGGUAUCUGACACUGGGAGGUGAAAACAUCUCCCAGGUGAGUGUUUCUUGCACAGUUGGCUCUGACUAGAAAACAAAAGCC